Molecule: ribosomal RNA, 441 nt
Filed under: uncultured bacterium
Lineage: Bacteria
Description: partial 16S ribosomal RNA
Rfam family: Bacterial small subunit ribosomal RNA
Source: RNAcentral
CCUACGGGAGGCAGCAGUGGGGAAUAUUGCACAAUGGGCGAAAGCCUGAUGCAGCAACGCCGCGUGAAGGAAGAAGGCCUUCGGGUCGUAAACUUCUGUCCUUGGGGAAGAAAAAAGACAGUACCUGUAGAAUAAGCUCCGGCUAACUACGUGCCAGCAGCCGCGGUAAUACGUAGGGAGCAAGCGUUAUCCGGAUUUAUUGGGUGUAAAGGGUGCGUAGACGGAGAAGCAAGUUAGUUGUGAAAUCCCUCGGCUUAACUGAGGAACUGCAACUAAAACUACUUCCCUUGAGUACUGGAGAGGAAAGUGGAAUUCCUAGUGUAGCGGUGAAAUGCGUAGAUAUUAGGAGGAACACCAGUGGCGAAGGCGACUUUCUGGACAGUAACUGACGUUGAGGCACGAAAGUGUGGGGAGCAAACAGGAUUAGAUACCCUUGUAGUC